UUCGCCGAGGGGCGCUGCGACCGUGACUUCGAGCACGGCCAGGCUUGGCGGGACCGAUGGGCACGUCCAGUUCCAAUGGCACGCCCGUCCGCAACAACGGCGCCCGGUUGCC
RNAcentral lists this non-coding RNA (112 nucleotides) under Novilysobacter concretionis. RNAcentral's name for it is "Lysobacter concretionis SAH sequence". It matches the Rfam family "SAH (S-adenosyl-L-homocysteine) riboswitch aptamer". RNAcentral also lists the same sequence under 1 other name. Lineage: Bacteria; Pseudomonadati; Pseudomonadota; Gammaproteobacteria; Lysobacterales; Lysobacteraceae. The record is from RNAcentral.